CGGGUGAGUAAUGUAUGGGGAUCUGCCUGAUGGCGGGGGAUAACUACUGGAAACGGUAGCUAAUACCGCAUAACGUCGCAAGACCAAAGAGGGGACCUUCGGGCCUCUUGCCAUCGGAUGUGCCCAGAUGGGAUUAGCUAGUAGGUGGGGUAACGGCUCACCUAGGCGACGAUCCCUAGCUGGUCUGAGAGGAUGACCAGCCACACUGGAACUGAGACACGGUCCAG
RNAcentral lists this ribosomal RNA (227 nucleotides) under uncultured bacterium. Its description in RNAcentral is "partial 16S ribosomal RNA". It matches the Rfam family "Bacterial small subunit ribosomal RNA", at positions 103 to 334 of the family's 1533-position model. The record is from RNAcentral.